This 445-nucleotide ribosomal RNA is filed under the name uncultured bacterium. Its description in RNAcentral is "bacterial SSU rRNA". It matches the Rfam family "Bacterial small subunit ribosomal RNA", at positions 29 to 506 of the family's 1533-position model. The record is from RNAcentral.
AUGAAUGCUGGCGGCGUGUCUAAGGCAUGCAAGUCGAGUGCACUUCGGGUGCACGGCAGACGGGAGCGUAACACAUUGGUAAUCCACCCCUAAGAGAAGCAUAACCCUCCGAAAGGAGGGCUAAUACUUCAUGUGCUCCGCAUCUAAAUGGGUGCGGAGUAAAGGUUUACUGCUUAGGGAGGAGCCUAUGUCCUAUCAGCUAGUUGGUGAGGUAAAAGCUCACCAAGGCUAUGACGGGUACCGGGUGUGAGAGCAUGACCCGGCUAAAGGGGAAUGAGACACUGCCCAUACGUCUACGGAAGGCUGCAGUCGAGAAUAUUCAACAAUGGCCGCAAGGCUGAUGGAGCGACGCCGCGUGUAGGACGAAGCCCUUAGGGGUGUAAACGACUUUUUGUAGGGAAGAACAAAUGACGGUACCUAAAGAAUAAGAGGCUGCUAACUUCGU